Molecule: long non-coding RNA, 299 nt
Filed under: Elaeis guineensis (African oil palm)
Lineage: Eukaryota; Viridiplantae; Streptophyta; Magnoliopsida; Arecales; Arecaceae
Description: long non-coding RNA (EGUI_LNC012450)
Source: RNAcentral
CAUUAGGAUCUUAGAUCAUAUUGAUAACCCCAAUAGUAGGUUGAUUGAGUUCAGCAUCAUCAUUAGGCUUUUGGUGAUGUUCUACAGUUUGAGUUAUCCGAUCUCAAACAAAUUUGCCGAGAUGAUCUCGACAAAUUAGAAUUUGAAUUUCAUCUUUAAGCUGUCGACAUUUUUUAGUAUCAUGGCCAUAGUCUCUAUGGUAGUGGUAGUACUUUCUUUUAUCUCUUUUCAAUGGUGGAGCCUUCAUAAAGUUGGGCUGACGAAGAUAUCCGUGGUCCUCGAUUUUCAUUAAUAUCCAG